Molecule: ribosomal RNA, 530 nt
Filed under: uncultured bacterium
Lineage: Bacteria
Description: bacterial SSU rRNA
Rfam family: Bacterial small subunit ribosomal RNA
Source: RNAcentral
AAUAGAUACCCGGGUAGUCCACGCCGUAAACGAUGAGUGCUAAGUGUUAGGGGGGUUUCCGCCCCUUAGUGCUGCAGCUAACGCAUUAAGCACUUCGCCUGGGGAGUACGGCCGCAAGGCUGAAACUCAAAGGAAUUGACGGGGGCCCGCACAAGCGGUGGAGCAUGUGGUUUAAUUCGAAGCAACGCGAAGAACCUUACCAGGUCUUGACAUCCUCUGACAACCCUAGAGAUAGGGCGUUCCCCUUCGGGGGACAGAGUGACAGGUGGUGCAUGGUUGUCGUCAGCUCGUGUCGUGAGAUGUUGGGUUAAGUCCCGCAACGAGCGCAACCCUUGAUCUUAGUUGCCAGCAUUCAGUUGGGCACUCUAAGGUGACUGCCGGUGACAAACCGGAGGAAGGUGGGGAUGACGUCAAAUCAUCAUGCCCCUUAUGACCUGGGCUACACACGUGCUACAAUGGAUGGUACAAAGGGCUGCCAAACCGCGAGGUUGAGCGAAUCCCAUAAAACCAUUCUCAGUUCGGAUUGCAGG